RNAcentral lists this ribosomal RNA (498 nucleotides) under uncultured bacterium. Its description in RNAcentral is "bacterial SSU rRNA". It matches the Rfam family "Bacterial small subunit ribosomal RNA", at positions 791 to 1294 of the family's 1533-position model. The record is from RNAcentral.
UAGUCCACGCCCUAAACGAUGCUAACUCGAUGUUUGGCCCUUGAGGUUGAGCAUCCAAGCGAAAGCGUUAAGUGACCCACCUGGGGAGUACGUUCGCAAGAAUGAAACUCAAAGGAAUUGACGGGGGCCCGCACAAGCGGUGGAGCAUGUGGUUUAAUUCGAUGAUACGCGAGGAACCUUACCAGGGCUUAAAUGUAAGUUGCAUUAGCUAGAGAUAGCUAUUUCUUCGGACUACUUACAAGGUGCUGCAUGGUUGUCGUCAGCUCGUGCCGUGAGGUGUCAGGUUAAGUCCUAUAACGAGCGCAACCCCUGUUGUUAGUUGCCAGCGAGUAAUGUCGGGAACUCUAGCAAGACUGCCGGUGCAAACCGUGAGGAAGGUGGGGAUGACGUCAAAUCAUCACGGCCCUUACGUCCUGGGCUACACACGUGCUACAAUGGUAGGUACAAUGAGCAGCCACUGCGUGAGCAGGAGCGAAUCUAUAAAACCUAUCACAGUUC